AGAGUUUGAUCAUGGCUCAGGACGAACGCUGGCGGUGCGCCUUAUGCAUGCAAGUCGAGCGAAGCUUUUCAGUAGUUUACUACAGAAAAUGACUGAGCGGCGAACGGGUGAGUAACGCGUGAGCAAUCUACCUUAGUUACAGGGAUAGCCCGAGGAAACUCGGAUUAAUACCUGAUAUUCUUUAUUUCUCGCAUGAGAAUAAAAGGAAAGGUCAGCCGAACUAAGAUGAGCUCGCGUUCUAUCAGCUAGUUGGUGAGGUAAAAGCUCACCAAGGCUACGACGGAUAGCUGGUCUGAGAGGACGCAUCCGGACCCACACUUGGGACUCUGAGAACACGGCCCCAGACUCUCUACGGGAGGCUGCACGCAAGGGAAUAUUGCGCAAUGAGCGAAAGCUUGACGCAGCGACAACCCGCGUGUGGGAUGACGGAUCUAGGUUUGUAAACCACUUUCAGGAGGGAAGAAAAUGACGGUACCUCCACAAGAAGCCCCGGCCAACUACGUGCCAGCAGCCGCGGUAAUACGUAGGGGGCGAGCGUUGUCCGGAUUUAUUGGGCGUAAAGAGCUCGUAGGCGGUUCAACAAGUCGGUCGUGAAAGUUCAGGGCUCAACCCUGAAAUGUCGAUCGAUACUGUUGUGACUAGGAUACGGUAGAGGUGAGUGGAAUUCCGAGUGUAGCGGUGAAAUGCGUAGAUAUUCGGAGGAACACCAAUAGCGAAAGGCAGCUCACUGGGCCGCUAUCGACGCUGAGGAGCGAAAGCUAGGGGAGCAAACAGGAUUAGAUACCCUGGUAGUCCUAGCUGUAAACGAUGGAUACUAGACGUAGGAACUGGAUUGACGGUUUCUGUGUCGCAGCUAACGCGUUAAGUAUCCCGCCUGGGGAGUACGGUCGCAAGACUAAAACUCAAAGGAAUUGACGGGACCCCGCACAAGCGGCGGAGCAUGCGGCUUAAUUCGAUGAUACCCGUAGAACCUUACCUGGACUUGACAUAUAGGGUCUAGCUAUAGAGAUAUAGUGUGCAUUAGCGCCUUAUACAGGUGGGUGCAUGGCUGGUCGUCAGCCUCGUGUUCUUGAGAUGUUGGGUUCAAUAGUGUUUCUCCCGCACAGACAGAGCGCCAACCCCUGUUUCUUUAUGUUGUGCUGACGCACAUUAUAGUUGGGGACUCUCAUCAGGAGACUGCUCGCGCGUUGUAUGUAUAUACCCACGGAUGGAAGUUGGUGGACGACGUCAAGUCAUCAUGCCCCUUAUGUCCAGGGCUGCACGCAUGCUACAAUGGCAAGUACAACGAGUCGCAAUACCGCGAGGUGGAGCAAAUCUCUUAAAGCUUGUCUCAGUUCGGAUAGGAGUCUGCAACUCGACUCCUUGAAGUUGGAGUCGCUAGUAAUCGCAAAUCAGCAAAGUUGCGGUGAAUACGUUCUCGGGGUUUGUACACACCGCCCGUCAAGUCACGGAAGUCGGCAAUACCCGAAGCCAGUGGUCCAACCCUUUUAGGGAGGAAGCUGUCGAAGGUAGGGUCGGUAACUGGGACUAAGUCGUAACAAGGUAGCC
This 1548-nucleotide ribosomal RNA is filed under the name uncultured bacterium. Its description in RNAcentral is "bacterial SSU rRNA". It matches the Rfam family "Bacterial small subunit ribosomal RNA". The record is from RNAcentral.